This 459-nucleotide ribosomal RNA is filed under the name uncultured bacterium. Its description in RNAcentral is "partial 16S ribosomal RNA". It matches the Rfam family "Bacterial small subunit ribosomal RNA", at positions 338 to 795 of the family's 1533-position model. The record is from RNAcentral.
CCUACGGGAGGCAGCAGUGAGGAAUAUUGGUCAAUGGGCGGGAGCCUGAACCAGCCAUGCCGCGUGAAGGCGAGUGCCCUACGGGUUGUAAACUUCUUUUAUAAAGGAAUAAAGUGAGGCACGUGUGCCUUUUUGUAUGUAUUUUAUGAAUAAGGAUCGGCUAACUCCGUGCCAGCAGCCGCGGUAAUACGGAGGAUCCGAGCGUUAUCCGGAUUUAUUGGGUUUAAAGGGAGCGUAGAUGGGUUGUUAAGUCAGUUGUGAAGGUUUGCGGCUCAACCGUAAAAUUGCAAUUGAUACUGGCAGCCUUGAGUACAGUUGAGGGAGGCGGAAUUCGUGGUGUAGCGGUGAAAUGCUGAGAUAUCACGAAGAACUCCGAUUGCGAAGGCAGCCUACUAAACUGCCACUGACAUUGAUGCUCGAAAGUGUGGGUAUCAAACAGGAUUAGAUACCCGAGUAGUC